Molecule: ribosomal RNA, 163 nt
Filed under: Stauntonia chinensis
Lineage: Eukaryota; Viridiplantae; Streptophyta; Magnoliopsida; Ranunculales; Lardizabalaceae
Description: 5.8S ribosomal RNA
Rfam family: 5.8S ribosomal RNA
About the family: 5.8S ribosomal RNA (5.8S rRNA) is a component of the large subunit of the eukaryotic ribosome. It is transcribed by RNA polymerase I as part of the 45S precursor that also contains 18S and 28S rRNA. Functionally, it is thought that 5.8S rRNA may be involved in ribosome translocation.
Source: RNAcentral
GAACGACUCUCGGCAACGGAUAUCUCGGCUCUCGCAUCGAUGAAGAACGUAGCGAAAUGCGAUACUUGGUGUGAAUUGCAGAAUCCCGUGAACCAUCGAGUUUUUGAACGCAAGUUGCGCCGNAGGCCGUUAGGUCGAGGGCACGUCUGCCUGGGCGUCAAGC